GCGAAGCUAGUACAUCGGUAGUAUGGCUGCCUUCCAAGCAGUUGAGCCGGGUUCGACUCCCGGGCUUCGCA
Paramacrobiotus metropolitanus is the source of this 71-nucleotide non-coding RNA. The record is from the annotation of a RefSeq genome assembly. NCBI's taxonomy places the organism in Eukaryota, Metazoa, Tardigrada, Eutardigrada, Parachela, Macrobiotidae.